Molecule: ribosomal RNA, 253 nt
Filed under: uncultured bacterium
Lineage: Bacteria
Description: partial 16S ribosomal RNA
Rfam family: Bacterial small subunit ribosomal RNA
Source: RNAcentral
UACGGAGGGUGCGAGCGUUGUCCGGAAUCAUUGGGCGUAAAGGGCGCGUAGGUGGCCCGGUCAGCGUGCGGUGAAAGCUCGGGGCUCAACCUCGAGUCGGCCGUGCGAACUGCUGGGCUUGAGCACUGUAGAGGCAGGCGGAAUUCCGGGUGUAGCGGUGGAAUGCGUAGAGAUCCGGAAGAACACCGGUGGCGAAGGCGGCCUGCUGGGCAGUGGCUGACACUGAGGCGCGACAGCGUGGGGAGCAAACAGG